This 255-nucleotide ribosomal RNA is filed under the name uncultured bacterium. Its description in RNAcentral is "partial 16S ribosomal RNA". It matches the Rfam family "Bacterial small subunit ribosomal RNA", at positions 524 to 776 of the family's 1533-position model. The record is from RNAcentral.
UACGGGGGGGGCAAGCGUUGUUCGGAAUUACUGGGCGUAAAGGGCUCGUAGGUGGCCAACUAAGUCAGACGUGAAAUCCCUCGGCUUAACCGGGGAACUGCGUCUGAUACUGGAUGGCUUGAGUUUGGGAGAGGGACGCGGAAUUCCAGGUGGUAGCGGUGAAAUGCGUAGAUAUCUGGAGGAACACCGGUGGCGAAGGCGGCGUCCUGGACCAACACUGACACUGGAUGAGCGAAAGCCAGGGGAGCAAACGGG